AUUGAACGCUGGCGGCAUGCCUUACACAUGCAAGUCGAACGGCAGCACGGGUGCUUGCACCUGGUGGCGAGUGGCGAACGGGUGAGUAAUACAUCGGAAUGUACCUUGUAGUGGGGGAUAGCUCGGCGAAAGCCGGAUUAAUACCGCAUACGCUCUGAGGAGGAAAGCGGGGGACCUUCGGGCCUCGCGCUACAAGAGCAGCCGAUGUCAGAUUAGCUAGUUGGUGGGGUAAAAGCUCACCAAGGCGACGAUCUGUAGCUGGUCUGAGAGGACGACCAGCCACACUGGGACUGAGACACGGCCCAGACUCCUACGGGAGGCAGCAGUGGGGAAUAUUGGUCAAUGGACGCAAGUCUGAACCAGCCACGUCGCGUGAAGGAAGACGGCCCUACGGGUUGUAAACUUCUUUUAUACGGGAUAAAGUGCCCCACGCGUGGGGUUUUGCAUGUACCGUAUGAAUAAGGAUCGGCUAACUCCGUGCCAGCAGCCGCGGU
RNAcentral lists this ribosomal RNA (494 nucleotides) under uncultured bacterium. Its description in RNAcentral is "bacterial SSU rRNA". It matches the Rfam family "Bacterial small subunit ribosomal RNA", at positions 30 to 521 of the family's 1533-position model. The record is from RNAcentral.